RNAcentral lists this long non-coding RNA (769 nucleotides) under Heterocephalus glaber (naked mole-rat). Its description in RNAcentral is "lncRNA (ENSHGLG00000047424.1)". Lineage: Eukaryota; Metazoa; Chordata; Mammalia; Rodentia; Bathyergidae. The record is from RNAcentral.
GAGGCAUGGACCACCAGCUUCGGAAUCCACAUUCCUGAACCAAAGCCUGUGCCAGCUCUGAAAUGGCACUGCAUUGAGAUGUCCCCUGGCUACUACCCUGAAAGUGGGAGCAGCAAGUCCAGGUAGCAUCAACAGCAGCCCUGCUCCCAGAGGAACUUCAAAGUACAAGGCUACUUUGACAAGCUUAAAACAGAACUACGCAUCACUCAGAAAGAAAAACCUGUUUUCUGUCAUGCCUGGUGGGAAAAGCCAUUGCAGAGCCCCUUGCUACCCGGUGGAAGAGGCCAUGGCAGUGUUCCAGGAAGUCCAAGUACAGAUUAGAACAGCAUGAGAACCUUUAUUAACAUAUACCACUAUCAUGAAGGAAAUACAGAGAGGAGAUGUAUUUUUUAUUACAACACGGAUACAGUUGGAAAGGCCAGCAGGGGGAAACCCUAAGGAAUCUCCAUGCUGAUUUCCAUAGUGAUUGCAUCAUACAUUCCCACCAGCAAUGAAGAAGGGAUCCUUUUCUCCCUGUAGCCUCUCCAGCAUUCCCCCCCAUCCCCCUACACCGUACCAGGCAUUGAACUCAGGACCUUGCACUUGCCAAACAGGAUUCGGACCCUCUCCAUAGCUGUGGCAGCAGUUGGGAAGGCAGCUGACUGAACAGAGAACCUUAUCUCUUUCCAACCUCUCCCGACUAUUGUAAAUAUCAAAUUAAGUCAUUUACACCCUUUGGAAAGAUCUAAAAUGCUAUACAAAUGUAAGGUAUGUUUUUCCUAUUAUUUUU